This 24-nucleotide microRNA is filed under the name Brugia malayi. RNAcentral's name for it is "bma-miR-5882b". The record is from miRBase by way of RNAcentral. RNAcentral also lists the same sequence under 1 other name. Lineage: Eukaryota; Metazoa; Nematoda; Chromadorea; Rhabditida; Onchocercidae.
UGGGCAACCAGAAUAAUGCAUAGU